GCCUCUCGUAGGCGUUUCGAAAAUGAAUCAAAACUUUCAACAACGGAUCUCUUGGUUCUGGCAUCGAUGAAGAACGCAGCGAAAUGCGAUAAGUAAUGUGAAUUGCAGAAUUCAGUGAAUCAUCGAAUCUUUGAACGCACAUUGCGCCCGCCAGUAUUCU
RNAcentral lists this ribosomal RNA (160 nucleotides) under Trichoderma harzianum. Its description in RNAcentral is "5.8S ribosomal RNA". The stretch from base 32 to 160 matches the Rfam family "5.8S ribosomal RNA", at positions 1 to 129 of the family's 154-position model. From Rfam's summary of the family: 5.8S ribosomal RNA (5.8S rRNA) is a component of the large subunit of the eukaryotic ribosome. It is transcribed by RNA polymerase I as part of the 45S precursor that also contains 18S and 28S rRNA. Functionally, it is thought that 5.8S rRNA may be involved in ribosome translocation. The record is from RNAcentral. RNAcentral also lists the same sequence under 1 other name. Lineage: Eukaryota; Fungi; Ascomycota; Sordariomycetes; Hypocreales; Hypocreaceae.